This 332-nucleotide ribosomal RNA is filed under the name uncultured bacterium. RNAcentral describes it as "bacterial SSU rRNA". It matches the Rfam family "Bacterial small subunit ribosomal RNA", at positions 568 to 898 of the family's 1533-position model. The record is from RNAcentral.
CGUGUAGGCGGCUAGACAAGUCAGAUGUGAAAUCCCUGGGCUUAACCCAGGAAGUGCAUUUGAAACUGUCCGGCUGGAGUAAGGGAGAGGAAAGUGGAAUUCCUGGUGUAGAGGUGAAAUUCGUAGAUAUCAGGAGGAACACCGGUGGCGAAGGCGACUUUCUGGCCCUAUACUGACGCUGAGACGCGAAAGCGUGGGUAGCAAACAGGAUUAGAUACCCUGGGUAGUCCACGCUGUAAACGAUGUUCACUAGGUGUUGGGGUAUUGACCCUUUCAGUGCCGCAGCUAACGCAUUAAGUGAACCGCCUGGGGAGUACGGUCGCAAGAUUAAA